AUGAACGCUGGCGGCGUGCCUAAUACAUGCCAGUCGAGCGCACAGACGAGGAGCUUGCUCCUCUGACGUUAGCGGCGGACGGGUGAGUAACACGUGGAUAACCUACCUAUAAGACUGGGAUAACUUCGGGAAACCGGAGCUAAUACCGGAUAAUAUAUUGAACCGCUUGGUUCAAUAGUGAAAGACGGUUUUGCUGUUACUUAUAGAUGGAUCCGCGCCGCAUUAGCUAGUUGGUAAGGUAACGGCUUACCAAGGCGACGAUGCGUAGCCGACCUGAGAGGGUGAUCGGCCACACUGGAACUGAGACACGGUCCAGACUCCUACGGGAGGCAGCAGUAGGGAAUCUUCCGCAAUGGGCGAAAGCUUGACGGAGCAACGCCGCGUGAGUGAUGAAGGUCUUCGGAUCGUAAAACUCUGUUAUUAGGGAAGAACAAAUGUGUAAGUAACUAUGCACGUCUUGACGGUACCUAAUCAGAAAGCCACGGCUAACUACGUG
This 496-nucleotide ribosomal RNA is filed under the name uncultured bacterium. RNAcentral's name for it is "partial 16S ribosomal RNA". It matches the Rfam family "Bacterial small subunit ribosomal RNA", at positions 29 to 507 of the family's 1533-position model. The record is from RNAcentral.